Molecule: ribosomal RNA, 2451 nt
Filed under: marine sediment metagenome
Description: bacterial LSU rRNA
Rfam family: Archaeal large subunit ribosomal RNA
Source: RNAcentral
AGCCGAAGUGGGUUGGAACGCCCCGCCAUAGAGGGUGAUAGCCCCGUAGGCGGAACCAGAUGAGAUGGUGACCGCUUCCCGAGUACCAUGGGUUGGAUAACCCGUGGGAAGCUGGGGGUCAUCUACCUCCAAAGCUAAACACGUCCUGAGACCGAUAGCGAACUAAGUACCGUGAGGGAAAGCUGAAAAGUACUGCUGGCGCGGGGUGAAAAGAGCCUGAAACCAGGCGGUCAUAGGAGUGGUGGCUCGAAAGGGCUGAAUCUCCGCGAAGGAAACGGUGGCAACACCGGAGUACGAGCGGAGAGGACCGGAGUCGCCACGUACGUCUUGAGUCACGAGCCGAGGAGUUCACGGGCGUGGCGAGCCUAAGGGGUUCAACCCCGGAGGCUCAGGGAAACCGAGUGCCACGCAGCCAGCUUGUCUGGCAAGGUGGCCGCCUCUGAAAGGGGGCCAGUCACGCCCGUGAGACCCGAAGCCGGGCGAUCUAUCCCUGGGCAGCCCGAAGCCGGGUUACAAGCCCGGUGGAGGGGCAUAGGGGUGGUGAGGUGCAAAUCCCUCCCGUGACCCGGGGAUAGGGGCAAAAGACCAAUCUAGCCCGGCGAUAGCUGGUUCCCGCCGAAGCCUCCCGUAGGAGGGCCUCCGCGGAGGGGCGAGGGCGCGGUAGGGCAACGAUUGGGUGGCAAGGGGCUAUGUGCCUCACCAUCCUUUCGAACCACGAAUGCGCCCUCCCCGGAGAAGCGGGGAGUCGGGCAGUGGGGGGAAGCUCCACUGCCGUGAGGGGAACAACCCAGACCAGGGUUAAGGCCCCUAAGUUCCGGCUAAGUGCCGAAAUCCGAAGGGCGUCCUCCUCCUAAGACAGCGGGGAGGUAGGCCUAGUAGCAGCCAUCCUUUAAAGAGUGCGUAAAAGCUCACCCGCCGAGGAGGGGGGCCCCGAAAAUGAGUCGGGGCUAAAGCCGGGCGCCGAUACCCUGGCGGUCUCCUCGGAUGAGGGGGCCGGGUAGGCGGGCGUCCAUACGGGGUAGAAGUCGGGGCGUGAGCUCCGGUGGACCCGUAUGGAUCGUGGAUCUCGGCGGUAGUAGCAGCAAACUGGGGUGAGAAUCCCCAGGGCCGAAAGCGCCAGGGUUUGCUGGCGAUGCUUCGUCAGCCAGCAGUUAGUCGGUCCUAAGGCGGCGCGUAAUUCGUAGCCGCCGAAAGGGAAGCCGGUUAAUAUUCCGGCACCACCGGGGUAGGUGCGGCAACGCAAGCCUCGUUCCCGACGCCUCUGGCUAGGCCAGGCAGGGGCGGGUGGAUACCCGCGACCUGUCCAAGCGCUGAAGGCCGCUGAGUACCGUAAUGGUGAGAGGCGGCUGAAGGCGUGAUGGGGCCGCUUGUGCGGCUCUGGCUGAUGCCAGGGGACCGUGAAAAGGGAACGGGGAACGAUCCCCGGUGACCGUACCGAGAACCAACACAGGCGCGCUGGCUGAGAAGGCCAAGGCCUGUCGGACCAACGCGGGAGAGGGAAAUCGGCAAACUGGCCCCGUAACUUCGGGAUAAGGGGUGCCCGCACUCCUGGGCUUCGGCCUGGGUCUGCGGGUCGCAGUGACAAAGGGCGCCUGACUGUUUAACAAAAACAUAGCUCCCCGCUAGCCCGAAAGGGUGUGUACGGGGGGUGAGACCUGGCCAAUGCCGGUACCUGAAACCCGGGUUCAACCGGGCGAAGGGCCGGUGAAAGCCGGGAGUAACUCUGACUCUCUUAAGGUAGCCAUAUGCCUUGCCGAAUAAAAAUCGGCGUGCAUGAAUGGUCUAACGAGGUGCCCGCUGUCCCCUCCCGCGGUCCGGUGAACCCACACCUCGGUUCAAAGUCCGAGGCGUCCCAGAGGGGAGAGAAGACCCCGUGGAGCUUCACCGCAGCCUGGCCUUGCGGUAUGGCUGGGGAUGCAGAGGGUAGGCGGGAGCGAUGUGCCAGUCCUCCAGGGGACUGGUGAAGCGCCGAUGGAACACCGCCCUUCCUCAGCUGUACCGCUAACCCAGGGUCCACCCUGGGGACAGGGCUUGGUGGGCGGUUUGGCUGGGGUGGCACGCCCCUGCAAAGGUAUCAGGGGCGCCCUAAGGCGGGCUCAGGUGGGUCAGAAACCCGCCGUGGAGGGCAAGGCCAAAUGCCCGCCUGACUGGAUCCCUAAAAGCGUGGGAUCCAGGGGUGAAAGCCGGGCCUAGCGAACACUCGUGCCCCCCUAGAUGGGGGCCGGGUACGACAGAAAAGUUACCCCGGGGGUAACGGAGCCGUGCCGGGUGAGAGUCCACAUCGGCCCCGGCGCUUGCUUCUUCGUUGUCGGCACUGCCUAUCCUGGGGGUGCAGUAGCCCCCAAGGGUGGGGAUGCUCGCCCAUUAAAAGGCAACGUGAGCUGGGUUCAGAACGUCGCGAGCCAGUUCGGUUUCUCCCUUCUGGGACUGCGAGGCCGCCUGAGGGGAAGG